GACAGAGGAGGCAAGCGUUAUCCGGAUUCACUGGGUUUAAAGGGAGCGUAGGCGGAAUAAUAAGUCAGUGGUGAAAGCCCCGGGCUCAACUUGGGAAUUGCCAUUGAUACUGUUAUUCUUGAGUUCGGUUGAGGUAGGCGGAAUGUUGCAUGUAGCGGUGAAAUGCUUAGAUAUGCAACAGAACACCGAUUGCGAAGGCAGCUUACCAAGCCGACACUGACGCUGAGGCUCGAAAGCGUGGGGAUCAAACAGG
RNAcentral lists this ribosomal RNA (253 nucleotides) under uncultured bacterium. Its description in RNAcentral is "partial 16S ribosomal RNA". It matches the Rfam family "Bacterial small subunit ribosomal RNA", at positions 524 to 776 of the family's 1533-position model. The record is from RNAcentral.